AAUCAACGCUGGCGGCAUGCCUUACACAUGCAAGUCGAACGCGAAAGGGGGCAACCCUGAGUAGAGUGGCGAACGGGUGAGUAAUGCAUCGGAACGUGUCCUGUAGCGGGGGACAACCCCGAGAAAUCGAGGCUAAUACCGCAUACGUCCUGAGGGAGAAAGCGGGGGAUUCGCAAGGACCUCGCGCUCAUGGAGCGGCCGAUGUCGGAUUAGCUAGUUGGCGGGGUAAAAGCCCACCAAGGCUACGAUCCGUAGCUGGUUUGAGAGAACGACCAGCCACACUGGGACUGAGACACGGCCCAGACUCCUACGGGAGGCAGCAGUGGGGAAUUUUGGACAAUGGGGGCAACCCUGAUCCAGCCAUGCCGCGUGAGUGAAGAAGGCCUUCGGGUUGUAAAGCUCUUUCGGCCGGAACGAAAUCGCGUACGUGAAUAACGUGCGUGGAUGACGGUACUGGAAGAAGAAGCACCGGCUAACUACGUGCCAGCAGCCGCGGUAAUACGUAGGGUGCGAGCGUUAAUCGGAAUUACUGGGCGUAAAGCGUGCGCAGGCGGUUCUGCAAGUCAGAUGUGAAAUCCCC
This 580-nucleotide ribosomal RNA is filed under the name uncultured Pseudomonadota bacterium. Its description in RNAcentral is "bacterial SSU rRNA". It matches the Rfam family "Bacterial small subunit ribosomal RNA", at positions 28 to 604 of the family's 1533-position model. The record is from RNAcentral. Lineage: Bacteria; Pseudomonadati; Pseudomonadota.